This 379-nucleotide ribosomal RNA is filed under the name uncultured bacterium. Its description in RNAcentral is "bacterial SSU rRNA". It matches the Rfam family "Bacterial small subunit ribosomal RNA", at positions 28 to 408 of the family's 1533-position model. The record is from RNAcentral.
GACGAACGCUGGCGGCGUGCUUAACACAUGCAAGUCGAGCGGUAAGGCCCUUUCGGGGGUACACGAGCGGCGAACGGGUGAGUAACACGUGGGUGACCUGCCCUCAGCUCUGGGAUAAGCCUGGGAAACCGGGUCUAAUACCGGAUAUGACUCCAUGACGCAUGUUGUGGGGUGGAAAGCCUUGUGCGGCUGAGGAUGGGCCCGCGGCCUAUCAGCUUGUUGGUGGGGUGAUGGCCUACCAAGGCGACGACGGGUAGCCGGCCUGAGAGGGCGACCGGCCACACUGGGACUGAGACACGGCCCAGACUCCUACGGGAGGCAGCAGUGGGGAAUCUUGCGUAAUGGGCGAAAGCCUGACGCAGCGACGCCGCGUGAGGGA